Molecule: ribosomal RNA, 550 nt
Filed under: uncultured bacterium
Lineage: Bacteria
Description: bacterial SSU rRNA
Rfam family: Bacterial small subunit ribosomal RNA
Source: RNAcentral
AGCGGCGGACGGGUGAGCAAUGCCUGGGAAUAUGCCCUGAUGUGGGGGAUAACUAUUGGAAACGAUAGCUAAUACCGCAUAAUCUCUUCGGAGCAAAGAGGGGGACCUUCGGGCCUCUCGCGUCAGGAUUAGCCCAGGUGGGAUUAGCUUGUUGGUGAGGUAAUGGCUCACCAAGGCUACGAUCCCUAGCUGGUCUGAGAGGAUGAUCAGCCACACUGGAACUGAGACACGGUCCAGACUCCUACGGGAGGCAGCAGUGGGGAAUAUUGCACAAUGGGGGAAACCCUGAUGCAGCCAUGCCGCGUGUGUGAAGAAGGCCUUCGGGUUGUAAAGCACUUUCAGUAGGGAGGAAGGUAGUGUAGUUAACACCUGCACUAUUUGACGUUACCUACAGAAGAAGCACCGGCUAACUCCGUGCCAGCAGCCGCGGUAAUACGGAGGGUGCGAGCGUUAAUCGGAAUUACUGGGCGUAAAGCGCAUGCAGGCGGCCUGUUAAGUCAGAUGUGAAAGCCCGGGGCUUAACCUCGGAAUUGCAUUUGAAACUGGCAGG